Molecule: long non-coding RNA, 1877 nt
Filed under: Nicotiana tabacum (common tobacco)
Lineage: Eukaryota; Viridiplantae; Streptophyta; Magnoliopsida; Solanales; Solanaceae
Description: long non-coding RNA (NTAB_LNC000058)
Source: RNAcentral
CCAUACACAGUUAUUUUAGCAGAUAUUCUAAACCCUAGCAUAUUCCCAGAUGCAGAAUACAUAUAUUAGUAUAUGUUCACCUCUAUCCCAUUCCCCACAUUAAAUUCCAUUUCAGAUGACCUUAAACAACUAGUUAACUUCCAAAUACAUACAUUCUGCUGCCCAUAACACAUUUGACCCUUAAUAUCAAUCAAAGCCAAAUAUUAAGGGAUAUAAAAUUCUAGCUUAGACUAUAACAGAAUCUCUCAAGCUCAAGGAAACAACCAAACCAUAUAUGUUUAAAAAAAUCAGAAUUACUAACUAAAUAUUGAACUCACCUGUAGGAUUAACAUAUAAGUAACUUGACUAUAAGAAACUACAUCAAACCCUCAGCAAGCUAAAACAAAGGGACAUCAGUAGUUCAGCUUAAACUAUUUUUACAAUCAAGAGAAAAGACUAAUAUAACAUGCUUAAAAUUAAACUAUUAUAUAGUGCUAAAGAAAUAGAGGAAACAUGAAAAUAAAACUCACUAGCAGCUUGUAUUCAACAUGUUUCGCAUUCAAAUUGCAGAUUUGCAUUUCACAUGUUGUCUAUGGUUCCAAAAAUACCUGGAAAUCAAAGAAAGUAAGAAGAAUGAGGGAUCAACAGUAGCAAAAGUGUAUCAGCAGCAAUGUAACAGUGUUAACACAGCAAAACAAACCCAAACUUCAAAAUCAGCUCCAAACGAUUCAAACCAGAUGCAUGAUUUGGGAUUUUGAGAAACUCUAAUUAACCAGAGGAAACCAAAGAACCAAAACUAGGCCAAUUUUCCGCAAUUGUUCAGUAUUGUUGAGUUUUUUUAGGGACUUCAGCCGUCUCUCAAAUUUUCAGUAUUUUUAGCUUUCUAAAAUCCCUCCAAUCUAACUUGUUAGUGAAGAAACUACCCUUUUAUAAGGAAGUUUUAGGGCAACAUAAAAUAAUUCAAACUUUGCCCAUUAGUCCUUUUGCAAUUUUCGUUUUUGCUCCUAUACCCUUAGUUUAAAAAUCAGGUUUCUAAAAUAACCCCAAACCCACCUUCCUGGAAGUUUUCCCAGUCAGCUAUUAAAGAUUCCCUUGCCUAAAAUUCCGAAACUAACCCUUAAGGCCCCUGUUUUUACCCCUGACACCAAACGGGUCAAAUUGACCCAAGGCAAACCAGACAUGGGCCUUUAAAAACCCGAGCUAAUCCCUUCUUUGGCUUCUGAUUUUCAAAGCCUAAAACUCAAAUCAAACUAAAAAAACCUACAGAAUAAUAGAGUAAACAGAAUUGCCAAAAUCAGCAUUCUUUUUCUUUUAAAAAAAUGAAAUAAACAAAAGCAAGGACUAACACGAAAAUUAAAGACAAUAUGCACUUAACAGGUUUUCUUUUCUUUUAACUUCAAGCAUGCAAACAGAAAUUGGUUCGAACAAAACAAAUAGAAAAAAUGAAAAAUAAUAAGGAAAAUAAAGGAUGAAACAGAAGGAGAUGGAGACGAGAAAUAAAAAAUGAAAAAAUGAAGAAUAGAAAGAAAAAUUACCUAAGGGGACAGUCUGGACAGUAGAAAUUGAACAAUCUUCACACUUUCGAAUUUUGGUUGAGAUUGACAUUAAAAGUGUGUUCUUGUCAAAAACACACGAAUAACAUCAAUUUUGACCCUAAUCCUUCACUGAAAUCUCGAUUUGGGGUUUUUGGGAUUUUAGGGUUCGAAACUUUGAUUCAUGAUUCGAAGAAUCCUAGGGUGAUUCGAUGGAAAUCAAUUAAGGAUUAAGAAAGAGGAAGCCAUGAGGGUUUUGUGGUGUUAAUUUGGAGUCGAUUAGGGGUGGCACCACCACCGGCGGUGGCAGGAAUUUUGGGGUGGCGGAUUAGGGUUAGAUGUUUUUCUGAGGGAGAUGAAGUGAAU